This 478-nucleotide ribosomal RNA is filed under the name uncultured bacterium. RNAcentral's name for it is "partial 16S ribosomal RNA". It matches the Rfam family "Bacterial small subunit ribosomal RNA", at positions 28 to 523 of the family's 1533-position model. The record is from RNAcentral.
GACGAACGCUGGCGGCGUGCUUAACGCAUGCAAGUCGAACGGUAAGGCCCUUCGGGGUACACGAGUGGCGAACGGGUGAGUAACACGUGGGUGAUCUGCCCUGCACUUCGGGAUAAGCCUGGGAAACUGGGUCUAAUACCGGAUAGGACCACUGCCUGCAUGGGUGGUGGUGGAAAGCUUUUGCGGUGUGGGAUGGGCCCGCGGCCUAUCAGCUUGUUGGUGGGGUGAUGGCCUACCAAGGCGACGACGGGUAGCCGGCCUGAGAGGGUGACCGGGAACACUGGGACUGAGAUACGGCCCAGACUCCUACGGGAGGCAGCAGUGGGGAAUAUUGCACAGUGGGCGCAAGCCUGAUGCAGCGACGCCGCGUGAGGGAUGACGGCCUUCGGGUUGUAAACCUCUUUCAGCACCGACGAAGCGCAAGUGACGGUAGGUGCAGAAGAAGGACCGGCCAACUACGUGCCAGCCGCCGCGGUAA